Molecule: ribosomal RNA, 734 nt
Filed under: uncultured archaeon
Lineage: Archaea
Description: bacterial SSU rRNA
Rfam family: Archaeal small subunit ribosomal RNA
Source: RNAcentral
UGCUAGUCGAACGACCCGGACUAUGGCGGGAAGUGGCAGACUGCUCAGUAACACGUAGCUAACCUACCCUUGGGACGGGUACAACCCCGGGAAACUGAGGUUAAUACCCGAUAGGUGUGAGUUCCUGGAAUGGUUUCACGCCCAAAUGUAAGCGCAUCCACGUUUGUGUGAGCGCCCAAGGAUGGGGCUGCGGCCGAUCAGGCAGUUGGUGAGGUAACGGCUCACCAAACCUUUGACCGGUACGGGCCAUGAGAGUGGUAGCCCGGAGAUGGGCACUGAGACAAGGGCCCAGGCCCUACGGGGCGCAGCAGGCGCGAAACCUCCACAAUUCACGAAAGUGAGAUGGGGUUACCUCGAGUGCCGCCUGAUGAAGGCGGCUUUUCCAUUGUGUAAUGAGCCGCGGGAAUAAGAGGGGGGCAAGACUGGUGUCAGCCGCCGCGGUAACACCAGCCCCUCGAGUGGUGGGGAUGAUUAUUUGGCCUAAAGCGUCCGUAGCCGGCCCUGUAAAUCUUUCGUUAAAUCCAGCGUCCUAAGCGUUGGGCUGCGAGAGGAACUGCAGAGCUAGAGGGUGGGAGAGGUCAGCGGUAUUCCUGGGGUAGGGGCGAAAUCCAUUGAUCCCAGGAGGACCACCAGUGGCGAAGGCUGCUGACUUGAACACGCCUGACGGUGAGGGACGAAAGCUGGGGUAGCGAAUCGGAUUAGAUACCCGAGUAGUCCCAGCCGUAAACGAUGCA